This 229-nucleotide ribosomal RNA is filed under the name uncultured bacterium. RNAcentral's name for it is "partial 16S ribosomal RNA". It matches the Rfam family "Bacterial small subunit ribosomal RNA", at positions 568 to 796 of the family's 1533-position model. The record is from RNAcentral.
UAUGUAGGUGGCCUUGUAAGUCGAAUGUGAAAUCCUUUGGCUCAACCAAAGAACUGCAUUCGAAACUGCUUGGAUUGAGUUUGGGAGAGGAGAGUGGAAUUUCCGGUGUAAGAGUGAAAUCUGUAGAUAUCGGAAGGAACACCAGUGGCGAAAGCGACUCUCUGGCCCAAAACUGACACUGAAAUACGAAAGCUAGGGGAGCAAACAGGAUUAGAUACCCUGGUAGUCC